GAUGAACGCUGGCGGCGUGCUUAACACAUGCAAGUCGAACGGAAAGGCUCCUGCUUGCAGGGGUACUCGAGUGGCGAACGGGUGAGUAACACGUGGGUGAUCUGCCCUGCACUUCGGGAUAAGCCUGGGAAACUGGGUCUAAUACCGGAUAGGACGAUGGUUUGGAUGCCAUUGUGGAAAGUUUUUCGGUGUGGGAUGAGCUCGCGGCCUAUCAGCUUGUUGGUGGGGUAAUGGCCUACCAAGGCGUCGACGGGUAGCCGGCCUGAGAGGGUGUACGGCCACAUUGGGACUGAGAUACGGCCCAGACUCCUACGGGAGGCAGCAGUGGGGAAUAUUGCACAAUGGGCGCAAGCCUGAUGCAGCGACGCCGCGUGGGGGAUGACGGCCUUCGGGUUGUAAACUCCUUUCGCUAGGGACGAAGCGUUUUGUGACGGUACCUGGAGAAGAAGCACCGGCUAACUACGUG
Molecule: ribosomal RNA, 466 nt
Filed under: uncultured bacterium
Lineage: Bacteria
Description: partial 16S ribosomal RNA
Rfam family: Bacterial small subunit ribosomal RNA
Source: RNAcentral